RNAcentral lists this transfer RNA (69 nucleotides) under Chaenogobius annularis (forktongue goby). RNAcentral describes it as "tRNA-His". It matches the Rfam family "tRNA". From Rfam's summary of the family: Transfer RNA (tRNA) molecules are approximately 80 nucleotides in length. Their secondary structure includes four short double-helical elements and three loops (D, anti-codon, and T loops). Further hydrogen bonds mediate the characteristic L-shaped molecular structure. tRNAs have two regions of fundamental functional importance: the anti-codon, which is responsible for specific mRNA codon recognition, and the 3' end, to which the tRNAs corresponding amino acid is attached (by aminoacyl-tRNA synthetases). tRNAs cope with the degeneracy of the genetic code in two manners: having more than one tRNA (with a specific anti-codon) for a particular amino acid; and 'wobble' base-pairing, i.e. permitting non-standard base-pairing at the 3rd anti-codon position. Lineage: Eukaryota; Metazoa; Chordata; Actinopteri; Gobiiformes; Gobiidae. The record is from RNAcentral.
GUAGGCAUAGUUUAAAAAAANCAUUAGAUUGUGAUUCUAAAAAANGGGGUUAAANUCCCCUUGUCCACC